UACAGAGGUCUCAAGCGUUGUUCGGAUUCAUUGGGCGUAAAGGGUGCGUAGGUGGCGCGUUAAGUCGGGUGUGAAAUUUCGGAGCUUAACUCCGAAACUGCAUUCGAUACUGCCGUGCUUGAGGACUGGAGAGGAGACUGGAAUUUACGGUGUAGCAGUGAAAUGCGUAGAGAUCGUAAGGAAGACCAGUGGCGAAGGCGGGUCUCUGGACAGUUCCUGACACUGAGGCACGAAGGCCAGGGGAGCAAACGGG
This 253-nucleotide ribosomal RNA is filed under the name uncultured bacterium. RNAcentral describes it as "partial 16S ribosomal RNA". It matches the Rfam family "Bacterial small subunit ribosomal RNA", at positions 524 to 776 of the family's 1533-position model. The record is from RNAcentral.